RNAcentral lists this transfer RNA (77 nucleotides) under Alphaproteobacteria bacterium. RNAcentral's name for it is "tRNA-Pro". It matches the Rfam family "tRNA". From Rfam's summary of the family: Transfer RNA (tRNA) molecules are approximately 80 nucleotides in length. Their secondary structure includes four short double-helical elements and three loops (D, anti-codon, and T loops). Further hydrogen bonds mediate the characteristic L-shaped molecular structure. tRNAs have two regions of fundamental functional importance: the anti-codon, which is responsible for specific mRNA codon recognition, and the 3' end, to which the tRNAs corresponding amino acid is attached (by aminoacyl-tRNA synthetases). tRNAs cope with the degeneracy of the genetic code in two manners: having more than one tRNA (with a specific anti-codon) for a particular amino acid; and 'wobble' base-pairing, i.e. permitting non-standard base-pairing at the 3rd anti-codon position. The record is from RNAcentral. Lineage: Bacteria; Pseudomonadati; Pseudomonadota; Alphaproteobacteria.
CGGGAUGUGGCGCAGUCUGGUAGCGCACCUGGUUUGGGACCAGGGGGCCGGAGGUUCGAAUCCUCUCAUCCCGACCA